Molecule: transfer RNA, 87 nt
Filed under: Janthinobacterium sp. HH107
Lineage: Bacteria; Pseudomonadati; Pseudomonadota; Betaproteobacteria; Burkholderiales; Oxalobacteraceae
Description: tRNA-Pro
Source: RNAcentral
GCGGCCUUCGCGUGGCUGGCGUGGCGGACGCUCGGCACGUUCCGGGCGCUCGGCGCGCUCGGGACGUUCCGCGCGUUCAGGACGCUC